GGACGGGUGAGUAACACGUGGGAACGUGCCUUUAGGUUCGGAAUAACUCAGGGAAACUUGUGCUAAUACCGAAUGUGCCCUUCGGGGGAAAGAUUUAUCGCCUUUAGAGCGGCCCGCGUCUGAUUAGCUUGUUGGUGGGGUAAUGGCCCACCAAGGCUACGAUCAGUAGCUGGUCUGAGAGGAUGACCAGCCACAUUGGGACUGAGACACGGCCCAAACUCCUACGGGAGGCAGCAGUGGGGAAUCUUGCGCAAUGGGCGAAAGCCUGACGCAGCCAUGCCGCGUGUAUGAUGAAGGUCUUAGGAUUGUAAAAUACUUUCACCGGUGAAGAUAAUGACUGUAGCCGGAGAAGAAGCCCCGGCUAACUUCGUGCCAGCAGCCGCGGUAAUACGAAGGGGGCUAGCGUUGCUCGGAAUUACUGGGCGUAAAGGGAGCGUAGGCGGACAUUUAAGUCAGAGGUGAAAUCCCGGAGCUUAACUUCGGAACUGCCUUUGAUACUGGAUGUCUUGAGUGUGAGAGAGGUAUGUGGAACUCCGAGUGUAGAGGUGAAAUUCGUAGAUAUUCGGAAGAACACCAGUGGCGAAGGCGACAUACUGGCUCAUUACUGACGCUGAGGCUCGAAAGCGUGGGGAGCAAACAGGAUUAGAUACCCUGGUAGUCCACGCCGUAAACGAUGAUUGCUAGUUGUCGGGAAGCUUGCUUCUCGGUGACGCAGCUAACGCAUUAAGCAAUCCGCCUGGGGAGUACGGUCGCAAGAUUAAAACUCAAAGGAAUUGACGG
Molecule: ribosomal RNA, 780 nt
Filed under: uncultured bacterium
Lineage: Bacteria
Description: bacterial SSU rRNA
Rfam family: Bacterial small subunit ribosomal RNA
Source: RNAcentral